CGGGGUGUGGCGCAGCAUGGUAGCGCGCAUGCUCGGGGAGCAUGAGGCCGGCGGUUCAAGUCCGCCCACCCCGA
This 74-nucleotide transfer RNA is filed under the name Chloroflexota bacterium. RNAcentral describes it as "Chloroflexi bacterium tRNA-Pro". It matches the Rfam family "tRNA". From Rfam's summary of the family: Transfer RNA (tRNA) molecules are approximately 80 nucleotides in length. Their secondary structure includes four short double-helical elements and three loops (D, anti-codon, and T loops). RNAcentral also lists the same sequence under 2 other names. The record is from RNAcentral. Lineage: Bacteria; Bacillati; Chloroflexota.